CUCUCCAUGUAUCUGAGAGCUUCAGGACAGCGGUUUCAUAGCUGAAAAAGCGGGUUGCGGCCAUGGCUUCAUUAACGAUCAGACCUGAACCUGUGAAGCAGAAGAAGAGGCCCAACUACCAGAUAAACAAUAAUCGGUACUGCACAUAUUGUGCCUCUAACCGUGAUCACCAAUGGCCCUUCGAACUCUCCCGCAAACCACUCGGAAAAGCAGAAGGUCCGUCACGACUCGCCUCCGAGAAUCAGAGGAAUGACUUCUCCUAACCAGAUGCCUUCACGCCGAUGUCGCAACUCUGCUUGAACAAAGAAGAAACACCUCCCUUCCUUUCUCCGACCGAACCAUAGACGAUUAUUAACGGUCUC
RNAcentral lists this long non-coding RNA (362 nucleotides) under Brassica napus (rape). RNAcentral describes it as "long non-coding RNA (BNAP_LNC011589)". The record is from RNAcentral. Lineage: Eukaryota; Viridiplantae; Streptophyta; Magnoliopsida; Brassicales; Brassicaceae.